UACGAAGGGGGCUAGCGUUGCUCGGAAUCACUGGGCGUAAAGGGCGCGUAGGCGGCCAUUCAAGUCAGGGGUGAAAGCCUGAAGCUUAACUUCAGAACUGCCUUUGAUACUGUUUGGCUUGAGACCGGAAGAGGUAAGUGGAACUGCGAGUGUAGAGGUGAAAUUCGUAGAUAUUCGCAAGAACACCAGUGGCGAAGGCGGCUUACUGGUCCGGUUCUGACGCUGAGGCGCGAAAGCGUGGGGAGCAAACAGG
This 253-nucleotide ribosomal RNA is filed under the name uncultured bacterium. RNAcentral describes it as "partial 16S ribosomal RNA". It matches the Rfam family "Bacterial small subunit ribosomal RNA", at positions 524 to 776 of the family's 1533-position model. The record is from RNAcentral.